GUAGAUACUCAUCCUACUCCUUAUGACAGCAUCGACUUCAUAAACCUCGGGAUGAUGUAGAGCUAAUUUCCAGUGCCUAUGGUCCACGUUAUAGAUGAGUCAGCGUAUUUGCUUUUCAUCACAAACAGGACACAACGUUGAGUGAGGCACUAUCCGUCUGUAGACCUGAUUGGAUUUAUACACCUAUCUUUUGAUAGGUGUUUUUUU
Molecule: small RNA, 207 nt
Organism: Xenorhabdus szentirmaii DSM 16338
Lineage: Bacteria; Pseudomonadati; Pseudomonadota; Gammaproteobacteria; Enterobacterales; Morganellaceae
Rfam family: GlmZ RNA activator of glmS mRNA
About the family: This RNA was discovered in E. coli during a large scale screen. The sraJ gene was expressed in early logarithmic phase, but its level decreased with cell growth.
Source: Rfam